UUCCGGUUGAUCCUGCCGGACCCCACUGCUAUCGGGAUAGGACUAAGACAUGCUAGUCAAGCGCUCACCAGCUAAAGGUGAGUGCGGCGCACAGCUCAGUAACACGUGGCUAACCUGCCCUUGGGACGGGGACACCCCCGGGAAACUGGGGUUAAUCCCCGAUAGACGAAGAACCCUGGAAUGAGUCUCCACCCAAAGGACACUUACACUAUGCUUGUAGGUGUUGCCCAAGGAUGGGGCCGCGCCCGAUCAGGUUGUUGGUGAGGUAACGGCUCACCAAGCCUAUAACCGGUACGGGCCGUGAGAGCGGUAGCCCGGAGAUGGGUACUGAGACAAGGACCCAGGCCCUACGGGGCGCAGCAGUCGCGAAAACUCCGCAAUGCACGAAAGUGUGACGGGGCUACCCCGAGUGCCGUCCGCUGAGGAUGGCUUUUCCUUGGUGUAACUAGCCGGGGGAAUAAGGAGAGGGCAAGACUGGUGUCAGCCGCCGCGGUAAUACCAGCAAGGGCGAAUUCCA
This 517-nucleotide ribosomal RNA is filed under the name uncultured archaeon. RNAcentral describes it as "bacterial SSU rRNA". It matches the Rfam family "Archaeal small subunit ribosomal RNA", at positions 1 to 503 of the family's 1478-position model. The record is from RNAcentral.